Non-coding RNA from Pseudogymnoascus pannorum, 86 nucleotides. Lineage: Eukaryota; Fungi; Ascomycota; Leotiomycetes; Thelebolales; Thelebolaceae. The record is from Rfam.
GGACGAUUAGUGUAGUGGUUAUCACGUUUCCUUUACAAAGUCAUCAGACGCGGAAAAGGUCGCAGGUUCGAUCCCUGCAUCGUUCA